This is a long non-coding RNA of Paramisgurnus dabryanus, 1215 nucleotides long. RefSeq lists it as uncharacterized. NCBI's taxonomy places the organism in Eukaryota, Metazoa, Chordata, Actinopteri, Cypriniformes, Cobitidae. The record is from RefSeq and is a predicted model, not a curated record.
ACUAUAAAUAAAUAUUCUGCAUCAAUUUUAGGUGUGCUACUGUGGGUGGCUCCGGCACACCCGUGGCUACGCCCCUGCCGUGACCCAAAUCUCGUUCGCACAUCAUCGCGAUAUGUAUCAUCUGUUUACAAACGUCGCCACUCGUUUCUUCACAUACAUCUCAUGCUCCUCCAUCUACACGCUCCACAACAUUUAAACCAACGGCUCUUUUAAGAGCCAUCACUUGCAAAAGCUCUCGUACUCGCUCUCCUACUCACUCACUCACUCUCCAACUCACUCACUCUUCUAUAGGGCUGUGCAAAAUAUGUAUAUGCUUUGAAAUAGUUGCAGCUUCCUGGCAUAACUGGUCAAAACCUGAAGAUGCCAUAUUGAAGAAAAGAAAGAAUGCAAAGAGAAAUAGGCAAAACAAAUUGAAAGAGGGACAAACAGAGAGAGGGGGGAGAGUGAGAGAGAGUGAGUGAGUGAGUGUGUGUGUAUACGUAGGAGAGUAGGGCUGUGCUAAAUAAUCGUCUGCGAUUCUCAUGCGUGUUUCAUCAGUAAAGCCGGUUCCGUGAUUAGAAGUAAAUCGCCAUCAGCUGCUUUCAGAUGGAGCGGCAUUUAUUACACAGACCCGUAGUUCACAGAGAACCCUACUCUCCUACGUAUACACACACACUCACUCACUCACUCUCUCUCACUCUCCCCCCUCUCUCUGUUUGUCCCUCUUUCAAUUUGUUUUGCCUAUUUCUCUUUGCAUUCUUUCUUUUCUUCAGUAUGGCAUCUUCAGGUUUUGACCAGUUAUGCCAGGAAGCUGCAACUAUUUCAAAGCAUCUUGACAUGAAAGCUGACAAAGCUGAACUUGGAGCAGCUACCAGAGAGGCUGAAGAAAUUCUACAAAUGUUCAAUCCUCCACUGCUGAAAAAGAUGACCAAACGAGCGAUUUCCUGGACUCAACAGACACAGUGAACUUUGCACUGCAUUUCAAAGCCAGCUCCUCAGCCGCAACACCGAGAACCAGAGUUGAGGUCAAUGUACUGCUGAGAAAAGUGCAAGAUCUGUUUAACCAAAAUUAUAAGGAUGCCGGAGGUACUGGAAGGCUCCCCUGGUAAAUCAAGGCAUGACAGUUAAAGUUGCAGGACUGCCCAACAGCCUUACUUUCAAAAAGCCAUCCUAUUGUGGAAGGAAGCAGUUGGAGGCCAUUUUGCAAGCGGCUGAGGAGAUUUCAUUUGAAAUCAG